Long non-coding RNA from Ornithodoros turicata, 1772 nucleotides. RefSeq lists it as uncharacterized. The transcript has 3 exons. The record is from RefSeq and is a predicted model, not a curated record. NCBI's taxonomy places the organism in Eukaryota, Metazoa, Arthropoda, Arachnida, Ixodida, Argasidae.
GAUGCCGUAUGCGGAGCUUGCGAACUGCGAACUUGUGGCGCUGACUUGUGUGACUCCCGGUUCAUCCUCUUUGUUCGGUUCAUUGGGUUGGUGUUGGAGUUGGUCACCAUAUUCUGAACGUUUCACCUAUCGUUGCGGUGUACUGUUCUUGAUCUGCUGCGAAGCGACGAACCGCAACGGCAGUCACUCGCCUCAGCGAACUUCUGUCUGUUGCAUCUCAAAGGAGCAUGGGGACCUGAUGAUACCUUCAACUAAAGAAACCAAAUGUGCUCUCGUGUGGUCCUGACGGAAAAGUAGUAUCAACAAGAACCCUCCACUUUUUCAACCAAGUUAUCUUUAUGAGAUCCUUCUGAUGGCUUCUUACUAGGCUAUGCCGCUCCGAAGCAUUGAGAUGACGAAGCGUCGUGGUAGCUGCACCUCUGCCUUCGAAAGAUGAAUCAGUCAUUCCACACUGUGCUUACUGGCUUUGUAUAGAGUCUGGCAAAUCCGACAGACUUGGACUGCCUUUUUCAAGAAAGUUUGAAAUAGCGUCCCUUAUGCACCUGCAUUUCAAUUCCAAUCUGUAUUACAAGAAUGACAGACCACUCAACAGAGAUGAACAUCUGAAAGUGAAAGAGCUGGAAUGAAGAUACGUUGAUCUGUGUCAAAGGUUCUUAGUAUGUGUGCGAGUCGAGGACAUAGGUCUCAAGCUUAUUCCUGUCUUCAGAAGAGGUGACAACUAUGCUCCUUCUACCUAUUAACCAGCUCCACUUUUUAGGGUUCCCUGUAAACUAAUGGAGCACAUCAUGUACUACCACGUUGUCAACCAAGUUGAGUCUAUCGAUUUCUUUUUUUAAAUUCCAGCAUGGCUUUAGAAAAGGGUAUUCAGGCAAAACUAACGUAGUGGAAUUCGUUCACAGCAUUUCAAACUGUCUUGAUUUCUGGGUCCAUGUAGAUGUAGUAUUCUUUUUAUUUUGUAAGGGCUUUUGACACUGUGCUCGAUGCUCGCGUGUUGGCCAAAGUAGCCUAAUUAAAAUUUGAUCCUGCUACCUGGAUAUGCAGUUUCUCAACCAACCGUAACCGUGGCGACAACUCGUGAGGAGAACCUCCACCACCACCACCACCAUGCAGCAUUUGUUAUGUUACAAUCGCUUCACAUUUUAAUCUAGUCAAAAGCAAGGCCUUUUGGUGGUCGGUCUUGUACGAUUAUGUGCCCCUCCGUUAUGUAACACCACACUGGGUUCUUCAACCUAUGAGAUUAAAUAAAUAUAUUGCAAAGUAAAUUGUCUACAAGGCUCGUUAUUCCAUUUCGCCACACUACCACAAGCAAUUGUUAGAGUAGUGGCCCAGGGUAUGAAGCUCGCCACUAAUCAUCAUUCAAACAAAGUUCAUAAUGUAAAAUCCUUUACUCCGAACACUGACUUAACACAACAAUUAAGAAUAAAGAGAGUAAACGUUUCAUUGCCUAUCCAGGUGGCAUCAUCCCUCCAACAGAGAACAAUCAAAAACAACAUCAAAGGAGUCAAAUCGGUGGUCCGCAUUCCUUUCAUCCAACAUAUUUCAUACGCUAUUUGGAGGGCACUGUGCCCAUCAGGCACUUUGACUGUGCAUAUCAAGUUGAGUGCAUAGAAUGUGAUGCAACCUACAUUGGCGAGAUAGACAAAAGACGUGGGACAAGACUAAAAGAGCCAGUUGCCAGGGCUACUAAUGCUUAGCUUAACUAAACAGGACCGAAUCAGUCUACCACUGCUGUCCUAAGGGACAUAUAUUUUGAUGGUGCAGUAACCUUUGCU